GGGUUGCCGGAGUUUCAUGAUGAACGGAAUUGUUUGCCCAACAGACCGGUGCAACGCUCUCCGGGACAGUGUAAGGCCUUUUUGUCUAAAAAAAUUCAUUGUAGUGCUUUCAGGUGUCAUAAAUUUGUUCCUGUUUUGCCACCUCCUCCGCCACUUUCACCGCCCUUGCCUGCCCCUCCGCCACCUGUUUAUUCGCCUCCGCCACCAGUUUAUACUCCUCCUUCUCCUUCCCCACCACCUCCUCCACCUCCAGUUUAUUCACCACCGCCACCACCACCCUCUCCACCUCCUCCAUCACCUCCCCCGCCUCCACCACCAGUCUAUUCACCUCCACCCCCACCUCCAUCUCCUCCUCCACCAUCACCUCCACCACCACCCCCGCCAUCUCCACCUCCACCACCAGUUUAUUCAUCACCACCACCGCCACCAUCUCCCCCUCCACCAUCACCUCCACCUCCUCCCCCACCCGUUUAUUCGCCACCACCAUCUCCACCUCCUCCAUCACCAUUGCCUUAUUGUAUACGCUCACCUCCACCACCAAAUUCCCCACCUCCUAAUUCUCCACCUCCACCGCUUGCUCACUCGCCUCCACCCCCUUCACCUUACUAUUACAAUUCACCACCACCUCCGCCCCCAAAUUCGCCUCCUCCUCCACCAGUAUACAUAUACUCAUCACCUCCGCCACCAAAUUCACCUCCUCCUCCACCGCCAACAUACGUAUAUUCUUCACCUCCUCCACCUCCUUCCCCAUUGCCUUGUAUAGAACCCCCUCCACCACCUCCUCCUUGCAUUGAACCACCCCCACCCCCCUCCCCUUCACCAUCUCCUCCUCCACCACCGGUUUAUCAUUACAAUUCUCCGCCCCCACCAUCUCCAUCACCUCCACCACCAGUUUAUUAUCAUUACAAUUCUCCGCCCCCACCAUCUCCAUCACCUCCACCACCAGUUUAUUAUUACAAUUCUCCACCACCACCAUCACCACCGCCUACUCCAGUAUACGAAGGGCCAUUACCACCAGUAAUAGGAGUUCAAUAUGCUUCACCACCUCCACCACCCUUUUAUUAAUUCUUUCAGAAAUUUCACUAACUCUUAUCCUCAGAGCACAAAAUAGUUCCUACAAUUAUUAUUUC
This 1130-nucleotide long non-coding RNA is filed under the name Solanum tuberosum (potato). RNAcentral describes it as "long non-coding RNA (STUB_LNC011165)". The record is from RNAcentral. Lineage: Eukaryota; Viridiplantae; Streptophyta; Magnoliopsida; Solanales; Solanaceae.